Molecule: ribosomal RNA, 411 nt
Filed under: uncultured bacterium
Lineage: Bacteria
Description: bacterial SSU rRNA
Rfam family: Bacterial small subunit ribosomal RNA
Source: RNAcentral
GACGAACGCUGGCGGCGUGCCUAACACAUGCAAGUCAACUUGAGGGAAGGAGCAAUCUGACCUGAUGGUGGCGCAAGGGUGCGCAACGCGUAAGUAACUUGCCCCAAGGUAAGGAAUAACGUCGAGAAAUCGGCGCUAAUACCUCAUAAUGCAGCGGAUCCGCAUGGAUAUGUUGUUAAAGGUUUACCGCCUUGGGAUAGGCUUGCGUCUGAUUAGCUAGUUGGUGUGGUAAUGGCACACCAAGGCUACGAUCAGUAACUGGUCUGAGAGGAUGAUCAGUCACACUGGAACUGAGACACGGUCCAGACUCCUACGGGAGGCAGCAGUGAGGAAUAUUGGGCGAAUGCACGAAAGUAGUGACCCAGCAACGCCGCGUGGAGGAGUGAAGGUAUUCUAUAUCGUAAACUACCU